UACGGAGGGGGCUAGCGUUGUUCGGAAUUACUGGGCGUAAAGCGCACGUAGGCGGACUGGAUAGUCAGAGGUGAAAUCCCAGGGCUCAACCUUGGAACUGCCUUUGAAACUCCCGGUCUUGAGGUCGAGAGAGGUGAGUGGAAUUCCGAGUGUAGAGGUGAAAUUCGUAGAUAUUCGGAGGAACACCAGUGGCGAAGGUGGCUCACUGGCUCGAUAGUGACGCUGAGGUGCGAAAGCGUGGGGAGCAAACAGG
Molecule: ribosomal RNA, 253 nt
Filed under: uncultured bacterium
Lineage: Bacteria
Description: partial 16S ribosomal RNA
Rfam family: Bacterial small subunit ribosomal RNA
Source: RNAcentral